UGCGCAGGCGGGCUUGUAAGUCAGUGGUGAAAUACUGCCGCUCAACGGUAGAACUGCCAUUGAUACUGCAAGUCUUGAAUAUGGUUGAGGUAGGCGGAAUGUGUCGUGUAGCGGUGAAAUGCAUAGAUAUGACACAGAACGCCAAUUGCGAAGGCAGCUUACUACGCCAUUACUGACGCUGAGGCACGAAAGCGUGGGGAGCGAACAGGAUUAGAUACCCUGGUAGUCC
This 229-nucleotide ribosomal RNA is filed under the name uncultured bacterium. Its description in RNAcentral is "partial 16S ribosomal RNA". It matches the Rfam family "Bacterial small subunit ribosomal RNA", at positions 568 to 796 of the family's 1533-position model. The record is from RNAcentral.